GUUUUUACUCGUCAAAACUCCCAUUUCAUCUGCAUUUACUACUCUCCUUUCGCAUUGAAAUGGAACCGAAUAUUAAUUUCUCUUAGAGAAAAGCUAUUUAUCGAUUACAUACGAUAAUUUUACCUCCGGCUCGUGGUGGAUCGGUCUAAUCUGGUUCGAUCGAUUAGGUUUGAUUAGCCCAUUUAUGCAAAUCCCAUUUCCCAUCUCAAUACGAUGCGGCAUCUGCACGGAAAGCGGAGGUGUCUAGGCUUGCGAGCGACAAGGGGAGAGAGGAAGGGUGGCGGUGGGAAGGAGCUUGGAAGGGGGAGAAAGUGAGAUCCAGGUUCCCUACCGGUGGAUGCAGGACCCCUCACCCUCUACCGGAAGUACCAGGUGCACCUCCUCCGUAGUUAACCCUAGUCUCCUCUCCCCCUUCCUAUCUUUCUUUCCCUUUCGGUCAUUGUGCUUCUGGGAAUUGAAUGACUCGUGAAAUGAGUUGAUGUUGUUGAUUUGGUUCAUGCUACGGGUGGCCCAAUUGCAUCUGAAGACCUCGUCUUUUGAGGUAUUGAAACAUUUCCCUUUUGGAUAGUUGUUCUUCUGGCAAAUUUGCAUCUUUGUUCAAUUCGUCCAACAUAUUGGUUGCCUCUACUAAACUAAACACAAUUAUGCUUGUUAUCUUCUAUGCAUGAUCAAAUGUUUUUGUCAGUGUGUCUCGACUUAUAGAUCUAGCACAAUUGAAAUGAAUGACGGUUUUAUAUAUGAAAAAAAUGAUUUUUAUCGAGUUUAACCCUUUUCUAUAAUUUUUUCGUUGAUUAAAUUCAUAUACCAAGGCCAGCAUAGGGCACAAAGUUCCCGCAGGGUUCUGGGGAGACUUGAGGUCACGCUGAUCACCGAGGAGCAAUCUUAUCAUGACACCAAACCCCACCCACUCAGGCCAAUUUCCACCAGCCAUAUCAACACCUAAUUAGUUUUACAUAGAGGCUGUUUGGAUGAGUGCUUUCCCCUGCAUUCCAUCAAGUGGUACAGGACUUUCGGAUGCAGGAAAUUCUUGGAUGGUUGCGUUUUCCAGAAGAACGUUCCUCUUAAAAUGCAGUUGGGUCACAAAUUUUAAUCAUGCAGCAACAUGUUUGCAUGAGAAAGCAUCUUCUUUUUUCCUUCACACAUCCUUUCAUUUCGCUAUGCAGAAAUUGAUAUCAGCCUGCCAUUGCAAAAUUGCAGGGAUCCAAACGAGUGACCCUGCAGUUGCAAAGACUUGCGUCGGUAACACAGCAAAUUCAUAAAUCUGACUGUUUGUUUUAGAACUCUUGCAUCUGCAACAUUUCUGUGGACAAAGACCUUUAUCCCUAUGCUGUGGUCACUGAUGUCUUGGAAGCUCCAGCAAAAAUGAAUCUGGACUGCUGUGUGAGACAUCAAGAUGGAGAAGAUUCACGGUUAGGACUCCUUUAUUAGGGUGCUAAGGUGCACAUAUUGUCUUACAAUUCCGAAAUAAUGAGAAAGGAGUGAGUUGGCUUUCUAUUAAGAUCUAUAAUAUAAUACCUUGAUGAUUUUGAAUGUUCUCAUGAUUAACAAGUCACAAUUUAUUGUCUUUGUGUGUG
This is a long non-coding RNA of Musa acuminata AAA Group (dessert banana), 1574 nucleotides long. RefSeq lists it as uncharacterized. The record is from RefSeq and is a predicted model, not a curated record. Lineage: Eukaryota; Viridiplantae; Streptophyta; Magnoliopsida; Zingiberales; Musaceae. The transcript is spliced from 2 exons.